CAAAUGGAGCAAGAAUUAGCCCGUUUCCUAGGUUUGGGUUCUUGUGCUUCCUGAUCCUUCACACACAUACAGGAUGUGCACAUUGUCUCAGACAGUCUUCGGAGGCCUAGCCGGAAAACGCUGUUGGAGAGGCUGUAUAUUACACAGUUACAAAAACUAUUACUUAUUGCAAGCCAGGUUGUUAAGAAGGACAGAGUUGGAUUGUCCAAGACCCGGGAGCUUUCUAGAAGAAAGUAAAUUAUAUAGGGGAGCCACAGCAUAUAAAAUACACUGGUUAUCCUAAACAAAACCAUGGCGUAGCGACGGUCAGGGCUGUGUCCAGUCUCUCUGGAAGAAUCUACCUCAUGACUAGGGAAUCGGGCUCUUCGGUCAUUUAUCUCUUUGGUGUGCUGACGGCAAAUUUUGAAAAUGUGGAAGUAAGUGAAGCAGACAACAAAGGCAGCAGGAGCAUAAAGUAAACAAACAAUAAAGCCAGUAAAAUAGGCACUGGUGAGCCAAGACGUGGCACACCAUUCAAAAAUGUCACCAUGGUAACCAGGUUUCCCCCAGCCAAAAAAGGAAGGCAAGAAAAUUAGGCAGGAGUAGAUCCAGAUCAAAAUAAUGCAAAUUCUCAAGCGACAAGGGGUGACCAGUUGAUUGUAGGAAAGAGGCUUGGUUAUUGCAAGAUAACGAUCCACACUGAUGCAAGCAAGACAUGCCAUAGAAACACUUUUUAGAACUGAGAUGAUAUAUCCAAAAACCUGGCAAGUCAAUGACUCGUGGACACCUGUGGAGUAGUGGA
Molecule: long non-coding RNA, 781 nt
Filed under: Homo sapiens (human)
Lineage: Eukaryota; Metazoa; Chordata; Mammalia; Primates; Hominidae
Description: non-protein coding lnc-RC3H1-5:1
Source: RNAcentral